GACGAACGCUGGCGGCGUGCUUAACACAUGCAAGUCGAACGAUGAACCCGGAGCUUGCUCCGGCGGAUUAGUGGCGAACGGGUGAGUAACACGUGAGUAACCUGCCCUUGACUCUGGGAUAACUGCGGGAAACUGUAGCUAAUACCGGAUACGACCCUCGGCGGCAUCGCCAGGGGGUGGAAAGAACUUCGGUCAAGGAUGGACUCGCGGCCUAUCCGAUAGUUGGUGAGGUAACGGCUCACCAAGGCGACGACGGGUAGCCGGCCUGAGAGGGUGACCGGCCACACUGGGACUGAGACACGGCCCAGACUCCUACGGGAGGCAGCAGUGGGGAAUAUUGCACAAUGGGCGCAAGCCUGAUGCAGCAACGCCGCGUGAGGGAUGACGGCCUUCGGGUUGUAAACCUCUUUUAGUAGGGAAGAAGCGAAAGUGACGGUACCUGCAGAAAAAGCACCGGCUAACUACGUGCCAGCCGCCGCCGUAA
This 484-nucleotide ribosomal RNA is filed under the name uncultured bacterium. RNAcentral's name for it is "partial 16S ribosomal RNA". It matches the Rfam family "Bacterial small subunit ribosomal RNA", at positions 28 to 523 of the family's 1533-position model. The record is from RNAcentral.